UAGUCAUAUGCUUGUCUCAAAGAUUAAGCCAUGCAUGUCUAAGUGUAAGCAAAUUAUACUGUGAAACUGCGAAUGGCUCAUUAAAUCAGUUAUCGUUUAUUUGAUAUUACCUACUACAUGGAUAACCGUGGUAAUUCUAGAGCUAAUACAUGCACAAAAGCCCCGACUUCGGAAGGGGUGUAUUUAUUAGAUAAAAAACCAAUGCCUUCGGGCUCUUUGGUGAUUCAUAAUAACUUUUCGGAGCGCAUGGC
Molecule: ribosomal RNA, 251 nt
Filed under: uncultured eukaryote
Lineage: Eukaryota
Description: partial 18S ribosomal RNA
Rfam family: Eukaryotic small subunit ribosomal RNA
Source: RNAcentral